GCCCGCUACAGAAACUUAAAGGAAUUAGAGGGGCCCCGCACAAGCGGUGAGCAUGUGGUUUAAUUCGAUGAUACGCAGGAACCUUACCUGGGCUCAAAUGUAUGUUGACGUAUUCUGAAAGGGAUACUUCUUUCGGACAAUAUACAAGGUGCUGCAUGGUUGUCGUCAGCUCGUGCCGUGAGGUGUCGGGUUAAGUCCCAUAACGAGCGCAACCCUAUCAUUAGUUGCCAUCAGGUCAAGCUGGGGACUCUAAUGAAACUGCCUACGCAAGUAGUGAGGAAGGUGGGGAUGACGUCAAAUCAGCACGGCCCUUACGUCCAGGGCUACACACGUGCUACAAUGGCCGGUACAAAGGGCAGCUACCUGGUGACAGGAUGCUAAUCUCAAAAGCCGGUCUCAGUUCGGAUCGGAGUCUGCAACCCGACUCCGUGAAGCUGGAAUCGCUAGUAAUCGCGCAUCAGCCAUGGCGCGGUGAAUACGUUCCCGGGCCUU
This 492-nucleotide ribosomal RNA is filed under the name uncultured Sphingobacteriales bacterium. RNAcentral's name for it is "bacterial SSU rRNA". It matches the Rfam family "Bacterial small subunit ribosomal RNA", at positions 903 to 1382 of the family's 1533-position model. Lineage: Bacteria; Pseudomonadati; Bacteroidota; Sphingobacteriia; Sphingobacteriales. The record is from RNAcentral.